AUUGAACGCUGGCGGCAGGCCUAACACAUGCAAGUCGAACGGUAACAGGAAGAAGCUUGCUUCUUUGCUGACGAGUGGCGGACGGGUGAGUAAUGUCUGGGAAACUGCCUGAUGGAGGGGGAUAACUACUGGAAACGGUAGCUAAUACCGCAUAACGUCGCAAGACCAAAGAGGGGGACCUUCGGCCUCUUGCCAUCGGAUGUGCCCAGAUGGGAUUAGCUAGUAGGUGGGGUAACGGCUCACCUAGGCGACGAUCCCUAGCUGGUCUGAGAGGAUGACCAGCCACACUGGAACUGAGACACGGUCCAGACUCCUACGGGAGGCAGCAGUGGGGAAUAUUGCACAAUGGGCGCAAGCCUGAUGCAGCCAUGCCGCGUGUAUGAAGAAGGCCUUCGGUUGUAAGUA
This 405-nucleotide ribosomal RNA is filed under the name uncultured bacterium. RNAcentral's name for it is "bacterial SSU rRNA". It matches the Rfam family "Bacterial small subunit ribosomal RNA", at positions 30 to 432 of the family's 1533-position model. The record is from RNAcentral.